RNAcentral lists this ribosomal RNA (264 nucleotides) under unidentified marine bacterioplankton. Its description in RNAcentral is "partial 16S ribosomal RNA". It matches the Rfam family "Bacterial small subunit ribosomal RNA", at positions 72 to 339 of the family's 1533-position model. The record is from RNAcentral.
UGGAGAGCUUGCUCUCUGAUGGCGAGUGGCGAACGGGUGAGUAAUAUAUCGGAGCGUGCCUAGUUAUGGGGAACAACUAAUCGAAAGGUUAGCUAAUACCGCAUACGACCUACGGGUGAAAGUAGGGGAUCUUCGGACCUUGCGUUACUAGAGCGGCCGAUAUCUGAUAGGUAGUUGGUAGGUAAAGGCCUACCAAGCCGACGAUCAGUAGCUGGUCUGAGAGGACGAUCAGCCACACUGGAACUGAGACACGGUCCAGACUCC